Molecule: transfer RNA, 73 nt
Filed under: Sus scrofa (pig)
Lineage: Eukaryota; Metazoa; Chordata; Mammalia; Artiodactyla; Suidae
Rfam family: tRNA
About the family: Transfer RNA (tRNA) molecules are approximately 80 nucleotides in length. Their secondary structure includes four short double-helical elements and three loops (D, anti-codon, and T loops).
Source: Rfam by way of RNAcentral
UCCCUUGUGGCCUAGUGGUUAAGGAUUCAGCAUUGUCACUGCUUUGGUGCAGGUUCAAUCCCUGUCCCAGGAA